RNAcentral lists this long non-coding RNA (289 nucleotides) under Ananas comosus (pineapple). RNAcentral describes it as "long non-coding RNA (ACOM_LNC039510)". Lineage: Eukaryota; Viridiplantae; Streptophyta; Magnoliopsida; Poales; Bromeliaceae. The record is from RNAcentral.
UCUUCGAAGAUCUGAGUUGAGGUAUGGAAUUAGAUUUCAAUUGAAUUAGUUUCGAGGAUGAAAUUAUUUUAAGGGGUGGAGAAUGUAAUAUACCGAAACUCGGUAGACUAUAUCGAACAUUAGUCAAAUUGACUAAGGGGUGCGAGAGAAAUAGUUGGACAAAGUCCAUUUAACAUUCUAACGAUGUUGGAAGGGUUAAAGUUGAGUUCCAAGAGAGAUUAAAGGGUUUUAGUAUUGAUCGAAGCGAAACAAUGCAAAACUGCAGUCUGGUGCGUUGUUAACCGGUAAA